UGACCUCAGAUCAGGCAAGACUACCCGCUGAAUUUAAGCCAUAUUAAUAAGCGGAGGAAAAGAAACUAACAAGGAUUCCCU
Molecule: ribosomal RNA, 81 nt
Filed under: Orthopyxis sargassicola
Lineage: Eukaryota; Metazoa; Cnidaria; Hydrozoa; Leptothecata; Campanulariidae
Description: partial 28S ribosomal RNA
Rfam family: Eukaryotic large subunit ribosomal RNA
Source: RNAcentral